UCUGCAAGCUUUGUUUACCUUUCUGUCUGGUACAUUUCUGCUGUGGUUUAACCUGGCAGGCAGCUCCAUACCAUGCAGGGACUCGGGGGGACAGGGAGAGAAUUAGGCAAAAACAAAAGUAAAACUCAUGGGUGGGGAUAAAGACAGCUCAAUAGAAAAGGGGUUGAAAUUAGAGCAAACAGAAACAAAACAGAACAAAAAAAGUACAAAAAAUAAGUGAUACACAGCACAAUGUCUUUCUACCCAGCAGCAGGGAUGCCAGCUGAGCCCUGAACCCUGCUUUUGAAACCAUGGUAGCUGGGUCCCUCAGGAUGAGGAGCCAAGAAAGGAGACCAGAGCCAAAUCUCUCUUGGGCAUCCUGAGCACCUGUUGAAACACAGUGGAUAGCUGAGAA
RNAcentral lists this long non-coding RNA (394 nucleotides) under Gallus gallus (chicken). RNAcentral's name for it is "long non-coding RNA NONGGAT011746". Lineage: Eukaryota; Metazoa; Chordata; Aves; Galliformes; Phasianidae. The record is from RNAcentral.